GCUGGCGGCCUAUCAGCUUGUUGGUGAGGUAAUGGCUCACCAAGGCGAGGAUGGGUAGCCGGCCUGAGAGGGCGACCGGCCACACCGGGAUUGAGACACGGCCCAGACUCCUACGGGAGGCAGCAGUGGGGAAUAUUGCACAAUGGGCGAAAGCCUGAUGCAGCAACGCCGCGUGAGGGAUGACGGCCUUCGGGUUGUAAACCUCUUUCAGUAGGGAAGAAGCGAAAGUGACGGUACCUACAGAAGAAGCACCGGCUAACUACGUGCCAGCAGCCGCGGUAAUACGUAGGGUGCGAGCGUUGUCCGGAAUUAUUGGGCGUAAAGAGCUGGUAGGCGGUUUGUCGCGUCUGCUGUGAAAAUCCGGGGCUCAACCCCGGACUUGCAGUGGGUACGGGCAGACUAGAGGGUGGUAGGGGAGACUGGAAUUCCUGGUGUAGCGGUGAAAUGCGCAGAUAUCAGGAGGAACACCGAGUGGCGAAGCAGGUCUCUG
This 490-nucleotide ribosomal RNA is filed under the name uncultured bacterium. Its description in RNAcentral is "bacterial SSU rRNA". It matches the Rfam family "Bacterial small subunit ribosomal RNA", at positions 229 to 731 of the family's 1533-position model. The record is from RNAcentral.